CAAAAUGUAGCUUAACCAAAGCAUCUCGCUUACACCGAAACGAUCUCUGUUAGAACCAGAUCAUUUUGAG
RNAcentral lists this transfer RNA (70 nucleotides) under Ctenophryne aequatorialis (Cuenca Nelson frog). Its description in RNAcentral is "tRNA-Val". It matches the Rfam family "tRNA". Rfam says of the family: Transfer RNA (tRNA) molecules are approximately 80 nucleotides in length. Their secondary structure includes four short double-helical elements and three loops (D, anti-codon, and T loops). Lineage: Eukaryota; Metazoa; Chordata; Amphibia; Anura; Microhylidae. The record is from RNAcentral.